Molecule: ribosomal RNA, 253 nt
Filed under: uncultured bacterium
Lineage: Bacteria
Description: partial 16S ribosomal RNA
Rfam family: Bacterial small subunit ribosomal RNA
Source: RNAcentral
UACGAAGGGGGCUAGCGUUGUUCGGAAUUACUGGGCGUAAAGCGCGCGCAGGCGGUUUUCCAAGUCAGUGGUGAAAGCCCGGGGCUCAACCCCGGAACUGCCUUUGAUACUGGUAGUCUCGAGUCCGGAAGAGGUGAGUGGAAUUCCGAGUGUAGAGGUGAAAUUCGUAGAUAUUCGGAGGAACACCAGUGGCGAAGGCGGCUCACUGGUCCGGUACUGACGCUGAGGUGCGAAAGCGUGGGGAGCAAACAGG